UGACAAUCAACAAUGAGCUUUAAACAGUGUAAUAAACAAUUAUGUUUUCUAGGCAGAUUUUGUUUUUCUUUGUGUUCCUGGAUCCACUGUCUGAAUGGAGGAAACUCUGGCUAGAAGAAACAAGCACCAAAAUAAAAAUAAUUGGUUUCCUAAGCACUGAAAUAGUUAUUAUCAUAGAUGCCCCUUUUUACUGACGUGAAAAACUUUUCAG
Molecule: long non-coding RNA, 211 nt
Filed under: Homo sapiens (human)
Lineage: Eukaryota; Metazoa; Chordata; Mammalia; Primates; Hominidae
Description: HSALNT0085764
Source: RNAcentral